GGUUGUGAGGGCAAUCUGGCUGCAACAUCUGUCACCCUAUUGAUUGCCAGGGUUGAUUCUGCUGAUCCGGCUGGUUAGGCGGGUGUCCCCUUCCUCCCUCAACGCUCCAUGUGUGUCCCUCCCAAAGCUGAGCGCCGGUCAAAGAGGACGACCUUCCCCGAUGAAGGAGGACUGGUCUUCGGUCAAGGGUAUACGCGUAGCUGCGCUCCCCUGCUAGAACCUCCAAACAAGCUCUCAAGAAAAAAGGAAAAAAAGAUUAUUUUGGGAGGAAGUGAUAGGUAAAAAGUUGGCAGAGAAU
RNAcentral lists this small nuclear RNA (298 nucleotides) under Nannospalax galili (Upper Galilee mountains blind mole rat). Its description in RNAcentral is "7SK RNA (ENSNGAG00000004127.1)". It matches the Rfam family "7SK RNA", at positions 1 to 284 of the family's 331-position model. Rfam says of the family: 7SK was discovered as an abundant small nuclear RNA in the mid-70s but a possible function has only recently been suggested. Two independent studies have found that 7SK RNA binds the CDK9/cyclin T complex (known as elongation factor P-TEFb). The record is from Rfam by way of RNAcentral. Lineage: Eukaryota; Metazoa; Chordata; Mammalia; Rodentia; Spalacidae.